Molecule: long non-coding RNA, 244 nt
Filed under: Phaseolus vulgaris (common bean)
Lineage: Eukaryota; Viridiplantae; Streptophyta; Magnoliopsida; Fabales; Fabaceae
Description: long non-coding RNA (PVUL_LNC002240)
Source: RNAcentral
CACUAUUGAACCCAACAAUUGGUAUCAAGAGCUAGGACUUGUAUUUUACUCAAGUUUGUGUGCAAUAUGUCUGAGUUUAAAGUGUUGUUUGUUGAGGGUUCGUCUAUUAAUAGACCCCUUAUGUUUAGUGGAAUGAAUUAUGCUUUCUGGAAAAUUAAAAUGAAUAUUUUCAUGGAAUCUAUUUACUUUGGUAUUUGGAAGGGUGUGGUCGAUGUACCCUUUUUGUGCCAAUGUAGGUUAUCAA